This is a long non-coding RNA of Prionailurus viverrinus (fishing cat), 1325 nucleotides long. RefSeq lists it as uncharacterized. NCBI's taxonomy places the organism in Eukaryota, Metazoa, Chordata, Mammalia, Carnivora, Felidae. The transcript has 2 exons. The record is from RefSeq and is a predicted model, not a curated record.
GUUUGUCGGAAUCCAUCACCUCAACAGAUCAGACUGAAUUACUUCAAUGACUGGCAAAUGGGUGGCACUCAUGGUGAAGUGAAAGCAGCCAGAUGUACUGUCUGUAGGACAGGGGUAGACUGAAUACCUGCUUCACUGAAUACCUGCUUCACAUCACCUUUCACAUUUUCUUAUUGGAAAGACAGCCGUUGGAGAAUCAUCUUGUUACCAUCAGCAAAAAUGCAAACAAAUCAAGACAUUAAGAAUGCCACAGUGGCCAGCAGUUAAUGAUGCCAGUGUUACACAAGCUUCGGCAAAGUUUUCAAGACAGUGUGCCUCACUAGCCAUAAAUCAGGAAAGAUUGAACUUAUCCUUUUUUGUCUCAGCUGUUCCUUAAAUCAUUGCAACCCCUCCAAAUUAAUGUGAAUUGAAACAUGCAUUGUCUUUUCAGCUUAAUUGAGUACUUACUAUGUGUGAAUCACUGCACAAAAUAGGGGAGGGAAAAUGAGGGAGACAAUUAGGAUGUGUUUCCUGCCUUCAAUGGAUUUACAAUUAGUUUCAGGGCACUUUUUUUCUUCUGCUCUUAAUUAAGUGUGUCCCUAAGAUAGAAAACAAAUGAAUGGAAAAGUGUAUUCUGCAAGUAUUUUAAUCCCUUUAAUAAAACACAAAACAAAACAAAACAAAACAAAAUAAUCUAAUGUGGGCAACUCAGGACAUCUUCCAUUUUUUUGGAGUUUCAAUAGGUAGGAUUUAUUUCAUUGAUUUUAUAAAUAUCCAGUAGAUGUUAGAGAUAUUAACACAUUAUAGUUGGAGUUAAUUGAAUUAAAUUCUUUUUUUUCCCCUUUAGGUGUAGAUUGUCUGUUGGAAAAGUAUAUUGUGUUUGUACAUUUCUUGCAGAGUAGGUAGAUGAAUUACAUCUGUUGUCUCUGUAGGCCUCUACCUUCUGUGCCCUAGGGGCCUGACAUUCUGAGUAAGUUAUUAGCGUGGGGAAGGGAAGAUUUGGAUCAAACUUGGGAAAGCUCAUGGACCCAAGAUAGGGCAGGGAAGGAGCAAAACAGACCUAGGCAGUCACUCUGUAGGAAAACUUGGCUGUUUUAGUAUUCAUUGUGUUGUCUUCUAUGUUCCAAAAUUACUGUACAGUUUUUUCAAAAAUUUAUUUCUGAUCUGGGAAUAAGUCAUGAUUUUUCCAAUGUUAAGGCACUAAUAUGACUGCAGACACCAGACAUUUUAUGUAGUGUAUGUAACACAUUUUAGUAUGUACGAACCAACAAUAGACAUGUCUUUGUCUUCAGUAGUGUCCAUCUGAAUUGAAAAUGUGCCAGCUUUUUUUUUCUUAAAAUCAUUAU